RNAcentral lists this ribosomal RNA (675 nucleotides) under uncultured bacterium. Its description in RNAcentral is "bacterial SSU rRNA". It matches the Rfam family "Bacterial small subunit ribosomal RNA", at positions 60 to 780 of the family's 1533-position model. The record is from RNAcentral.
AGUCGAACGGAAUCUUCGGAUUUAGUGGCGGACGGGUGAGUAACGCGUAAGAAUCUACCUACAGACUCGGGACAACAGUUAGAAAUGACUGCUAAUACCGGAUAUGCCUUCGGGUGAAAGAUUUAUCAUCUGUAGAUGAGCUUGCGUCCGAUUAGCUAGAUGGUGGGGUAACGGCCUACCAUGGCGACGAUCGGUAGCUGGUCUGAGAGGAUGACCAGUCACACUGGGACUGAGACACGGCCCACACUCCUACGGGAGGCAGCAGUGGGGAAUUUUCCGCAAUGGGAGAAAGCCUGACCGAGCAAUACCGCGUGAGGGACGAAGGCCUGUGGGUUGUAAACCUCUUUUGUUAGGGAAGAUAAUGACGGUACCUAACGAAUAAGCAUCGGCUAACUCCGUGCCACCAGCCGCGGUAAGACGGAGGAUGCAAGCGUUAUCCGGAAUUAUUGGGCGUAAAGCGUACGUACGCUGUUUCAUAAGUCUGUUGUCGAAGCCCGAGGCUCAAGCUUGGAUCGGCGAUGGAAACUGUGAGACUAACUAGAGAUAGGGGCAGGAGGACUUCCAGGUGUAUCGGUUAAAUGCCUAGAUAUCUGGAAGAACACGCAGUGGUAAAUGCGUCCUGCUGGAUCUCACCUGACGCUUAAAUACGAAAGCUACGGGAGCGAAUGGGGAUUA